UAGCAAUACUUGGUGGCGACCGGCGCAAGGGUGCGUAACGCGUGAGCAACAUGCCCGUAUCAGGGGGAUAAUCCAUGGAAACGUGGUCUAAUACCCCAUAGUAAAUUUUUGGGGCAUCUCAAAGAUUUUAAAGCUUUGGUGGAUACGGAUUGGCUCGCGUGACAUUAGCUAGAUGGUAAGGUAACGGCUUACCAUGGCUACGAUGUCUAGGGGUUCUGAGAGGAAGGUCCCCCACACUGGAACUGAGACACGGUCCAGACUCCUACGGGAGGCAGCAGUGAGGAAUAUUGGACAAUGGAUGGAAAUCUGAUCCAGCCAUGCCGCGUGCAGGAAGACGGCCCUAUGGGUUGUAAACUGCUUUUGUAUGGGAGCAAUAAGGGCUACGUGUAGUCCGAUGAGAGUACCAUACGAAUAAGCACCGGCUAACUCCGUGCCAGCAGCCGCGGUAAUACGGAGGGUGCAAGCGUUAUCCGGAUUUAUUGGGUUUAAAGGGUGCGUAGGCGGUUUGAUAAGUCAGCGGUGAAAUAUUUCAGCUUAACUGGAAGGGUGCCGUUGAUACUGUCGAGCUUGAAUUUAGUUGCUGUGGGUGGAAUGUGUGGUGUAGCGGUGAAAUGCAUAGAUAUCACACAGAAUAUCGAUUGCGAAGGCAGCUCACAAAGCUAAUAUUGACGCUGAUGCACGAAAGUGUGGGGAUCAAACAGGAUUAGAUACCCUGGUAGUCCACACUGUAAACGAUGAUAACUCGCUGUCGGCGAUACACCGUCGGUGGCCAAGC
RNAcentral lists this ribosomal RNA (775 nucleotides) under uncultured bacterium. RNAcentral's name for it is "bacterial SSU rRNA". It matches the Rfam family "Bacterial small subunit ribosomal RNA", at positions 77 to 852 of the family's 1533-position model. The record is from RNAcentral.